Molecule: long non-coding RNA, 1084 nt
Filed under: Homo sapiens (human)
Lineage: Eukaryota; Metazoa; Chordata; Mammalia; Primates; Hominidae
Description: non-protein coding LINC00476:23
Source: RNAcentral
AGAAAUAACUGGGGGCAUGGAGAAUGCGGUGGCUGUAAAGGGCCGCUGAGGCGGUGGAGGCCUGGCAGAGAGCGUCCCCGCGGUCGCGGCUUCUGGCUUCUCUGUGGAGCUUGGUUCUUCCGUGGUGGUGCAGCACCCCAGGAACUUCAGGAACCAGUCCUUCCUUGGAGAGCUCCCCGGGACAGCCACGGGGGCCAAGUGAAACUAGCGCGUUUUCUUGGAUCCUACACUUUAUAGUGAGUCAUAAAUACUUUAAAUACAAAGCCAACAACAUUUGCUGCAAAUAAACGUAAAAAUACUGUUAAAGUGUAAAGUGUUUUCCUCCGUACCAUCUGACGUUUCUGGCGGUUCGUUGAACGCGAGAGAACGCUGAGCCGUCUGCACUGAGCCCGGGAGCAUCUUCAGGGCAGCGCCGCCCACGCGCGAGGUGAAUGAAGGACACGGCCUCUUGACACUCCCAGGCAGCACAGAUAGACGGAUCCUGGCUAGAAGUGACCCCAGGAUUUUUUUAUUAUCAAGAGAGACUAGAAGAAUCAUGAGACUUUUCCUAGUUGCCUUUCAAGAAUAUGAAGAAAAAAAUGGUUCUCAAAGUGGGUUUGAAUGAGUAUUGUUCCAAUAAAUGAACUUAUAUUCAUAUUUCAUCCCCUGAGUCCUGGUGUUUCAACAUCCAUUAGAACUGAAUAAUCAUACUGCAUAUCAAAGUUUGUGGGAAAUUGCUAAAGUGUAAAAAAUGCUCAUAUUGAAAAAGAAGAAAAGCUGAAAAUUAAUUGUGCUUCCAACUUUAAAAAAGGACAACAAGCUAAUCCUAAAGAAACUAGAAUAAAAGGAAAAAAUAAACAGAAGUUAAAGAGUAAUUUUAAAAAAUACAAUAGAAAUUAUCAACGAAGCCAAAAGUUGAUUCUUUGAAAAGAUUAAUGAAGUAGGCAAACCACUGGUGAGAUGAAUCAAGAAAAAUAGAGAAAAGACUCAAAUAAACAUUAGGAAUGGAAAAUAGGGCAAUGCUAAAGAGAAUUCAAAGAUCAGAAAAAUAUGGGAGUAUACUAAAAACGAUUUCAUGCCCAAGUGUUCAAAUCUAUAUUGCCUU